UACAGAGACUGCAAGCGUUAUUCGGAUUCACUGGGCGUAAAGGGUGCGCAGGCGGCCAAGUGUGUUAGGCGUGAAAGCCCUGGGCUUAACCCAUGAGGUGCGUUUCAGACUGGAAGACUUGAGUGCGAGAGAGGAAAGUGGAAUUCCUAGUGUAGAGGUGAAAUUCGUAGAUAUUAGGAAGAACACCAGUGGCGAAGGCGGCUUUCUGGCUCGCAACUGACGCUGAGGCACGAAAGCGUGGGGAGCAAACAGG
Molecule: ribosomal RNA, 253 nt
Filed under: uncultured bacterium
Lineage: Bacteria
Description: partial 16S ribosomal RNA
Rfam family: Bacterial small subunit ribosomal RNA
Source: RNAcentral